AUUGGAGGGCAAGUCUGGUGCCAGCAGCCGCGGUAAUUCCAGCUCCAAUAGCGUAUAUUAAAGUUGUUGCAGUUAAAAAGCUCGUAGUUGGAUUUCUGUUAAUAAUUUAUAUAUAAUAUUUUUAAUAUUUAUAUAAUAUUAACAUAAUUCAUAUUACUAUAUAUUAUUAUUAGUAUAUGAAAUUUUACUUUGAGAAAAUUAGAGUGCUUAAAGCAGGCAUAUGCCUUGAAUACUCCAGCAUGGAAUAAUAUAAAAGAUUUUUAUCUUUUUUAUUGGUUCUAAGAUAAAAAUAAUGAUUAAUAGGGACAGUUGGGGGCAUUUGUAUUUAACAGUCAGAGGUGAAAUUCUUAGAUUUGUUAAAGACAAACUAGUGCGAAAGCAUUUGCCAAGGAUGUUUUCAUUAAUCAAGAACGAAAGUUAGGGGAUCGAAGACGAUCAGAUACCGUCGUAGUCUUAACCAUAAACUAUGCCAACUAGAGAUUGGAGGUUGUUCCUUACUCCUUC
This 504-nucleotide ribosomal RNA is filed under the name Cryptosporidium occultus. RNAcentral's name for it is "SSU rRNA". It matches the Rfam family "Eukaryotic small subunit ribosomal RNA", at positions 547 to 1081 of the family's 1831-position model. The record is from RNAcentral. Lineage: Eukaryota; Apicomplexa; Conoidasida; Eucoccidiorida; Cryptosporidiidae.